Molecule: long non-coding RNA, 1150 nt
Filed under: Macaca nemestrina (pig-tailed macaque)
Lineage: Eukaryota; Metazoa; Chordata; Mammalia; Primates; Cercopithecidae
Description: lncRNA (ENSMNEG00000045981.1)
Source: RNAcentral
CGCACAGUCCCUGAUCCCUGUGCACGCUGGGAUUGUAGUCCUGCAGCCCUGUGAUCACUGGCUGGUAACAAAAAAUUUCAGCUCACGGAAUGGUAGGCGAAGGCCCUCAACCUCAGCCUCGCUCCUCCAUGCCUUCACAGCAGUUCUGCCAUGCGGAGGGGGAGCCUGCCUGUUCUUUAACCUCACCUACCUGAUGGGAGAGGGCAAGCUACCAGGGCAGCUUGUCUCACCAAGUAAUUGUGAUCCCGUAUCCCCCAACGUGCUGGCUUCUUGACUUCCAAAGUUGCGGCAAGGUAAGAAGAACUACAGAGGAAGAACCUACUGCAGACAUUUCCCAGGAGACUUUAACUGAAGCAUCAGCAAAACUGAAAGAUGGAGUCUCGUUCUGUUGCCCAAGCUGGAGUGCAGUGGCAUGGUCUCGGCUCACAGCAACCUCCACCUCGCAGGUUCAAGUGAUUCUCAUGUCUCAGCCUCCCGGGUUCAAGCAAUUCUCCUGCCUCAGCCUCCCGAGUAGCUGGGAUUACAGGCACGCACCACCACGCCCAGGUAAUUUUGUAUUUUUAGUAGACAUGGGGUUUCUCCAUGUUGGUAAGGCUGAUCUCCAACUCCUGACCUCAGGUGAUCCACCUGCCUCGGCCUCUCAAAGUGCUGAAUUACAGGCUUAAGCUACCAUGCCUGGCCAAAAGCCUAGGUUUCUUUCUAUGUAAAAUGUAAAAAAAAUUUAAACUCAUAGAAGCAGCGUGCAAUAAUGAAAAAAAAAAAAAGAAUUCCCUAUGGGGUUUUUUGUCUGAUUAAGAGAGCUUCUUCAAGAUCUUUCAGGGAUUAUAUUUUCUUCCAUAUUCUGCAUCAUCCUGUUUUUCAGCCAAUGGAUGAAAAAAGAUACAGAGAAAACACAUUUGCUUUUAUCCCCUUCACUUCCACUCAAUAUUAGUCAAUGUGGAUACAGCUGAGAAUAGCAGUUUUCUGGCAGGACAGCCACGUCUCAGUAAUAAACAACACACUGAAAAUAAAGUACCCAUCUGUCAUAAAAAGCUAAUGGAUUUUAAGAAAAAUAAGUAUAUGCAUCAGUAAUUCUUGUGGUAAAGAUUCAUCUUGUUGAUUUCUAUUGAGCUCCCAUAAUAUUUGACCAAAAGCUUGCAAAUAUACAGCA